GCCGACCAGCUAGCCCACCCCAACAAAAACAACAACCCAAUAUAAAUAACCCCAAACACACAACUCCUCCUAUAAACAAACCAUUUUUCCCCCUUAGUAUGGGCGACAGAAAAGGAACUAUUGGAGCGAUAGAGAAAGUACCGCAAGGGAAAGCUGAAAGAGAAAUGAAAUAACCCAGUAAAGCCUAAAAAAGCAGAGAUCUAACCUCU
RNAcentral lists this ribosomal RNA (209 nucleotides) under Sarda orientalis (striped bonito). RNAcentral describes it as "partial 16S ribosomal RNA". The record is from RNAcentral. Lineage: Eukaryota; Metazoa; Chordata; Actinopteri; Scombriformes; Scombridae.